Long non-coding RNA from Orcinus orca (killer whale), 484 nucleotides. RefSeq lists it as uncharacterized. Lineage: Eukaryota; Metazoa; Chordata; Mammalia; Artiodactyla; Delphinidae. The transcript is spliced from 2 exons. The record is from RefSeq and is a predicted model, not a curated record.
UCUGGUCCUUUCCCUCUCUCUUCUCCUUCUGGGACCCGUAUAAUGUGAAUGUUGUUGUGUUUAAUGUUGUCCCAGAGGUCUCUUAGGCUGUGUUCAUUUCUUUUCAUUCUUUUUUCUUUAUUCUGUUCUGCAGCAGUGAAUUCCACCAUUCUGUCUUCCAGGUCACUUAUCCGUUCUUCUACCUCAGUUAUUCUGCUAUUGAUUCCUUCUAGUGUAGUUUUCAUUUCAGUUAUUGUAUUGUUCAUCUCUGUUUGUUUGUUCUUUAAUUCUUCUAGGUCUUUGUUAAACAUUUCUUGCAUCUUCUUGAUCUUUGCCUCCAUUCUUUUUCCGAGGUCCUGGAUCAUCUUCACUAUCAUUAUUCUGAAUUCUUUUUCUGGAAGGUUGCCUAUCUCCACUUCAUUUAGUUGUUUUUCUGGGGUUUUCUCUUGUUCCUUCAUCUGGUACAUAGCCCUCUGCCUUUUCAUCUUGUCUAUCUUUCUGUGAA